RNAcentral lists this ribosomal RNA (446 nucleotides) under uncultured bacterium. RNAcentral's name for it is "partial 16S ribosomal RNA". It matches the Rfam family "Bacterial small subunit ribosomal RNA", at positions 338 to 795 of the family's 1533-position model. The record is from RNAcentral.
CCUACGGGAGGCAGCAGUCGAGAAUUAUUCACAAUGGGGGAAACCCUGAUGGUGCGACGCCGCGUGGGGGAAUGAAGGUCUUCGGAUGGUAAACCCAUGUCAUGUGGGAGCAAAUUAAAAAGAUAGUACCACAAGAGGAAGAGACGGCUAACUCUGUGCCAGCAGCCGCGGUAAGAGACAGGUGUCAAGCGUGGUUGGGAAUCACUGGGCGUAAGGCGUGCGUAGGCGGUUUUGUAAGUCGUGUGUGAAAGGCGCGGGCUCAACCCGCGGACGGCACAUGAUACUGCGAGACUAGAGUAAGGGAGGGGGAACCGGAAUUCUCGGUGUAGCAGUGAAAUGCGUAGAUAUCGAGAGGAACACUCGUGGCGAAGGCGGGUUCCUGGACAUUAACUGACGCUGAGGCACGAAGGCCAGGGGAGCGAAAGGGAUUAGAUACCCGUGUAGUC